RNAcentral lists this ribosomal RNA (1654 nucleotides) under Escherichia coli. RNAcentral describes it as "partial 23S ribosomal RNA". It matches the Rfam family "Bacterial large subunit ribosomal RNA", at positions 1291 to 2925 of the family's 2925-position model. Lineage: Bacteria; Pseudomonadati; Pseudomonadota; Gammaproteobacteria; Enterobacterales; Enterobacteriaceae. The record is from RNAcentral.
CGAAUGCUGACAUAAGUAACGAUAAAGCGGGUGAAAAGCCCGCUCGCCGGAAGACCAAGGGUUCCUGUCCAACGUUAAUCGGGGCAGGGUGAGUCGACCCCUAAGGCGAGGCCGAAAGGCGUAGUCGAUGGGAAACAGGUUAAUAUUCCUGUACUUGGUGUUACUGCGAAGGGGGGACGGAGAAGGCUAUGUUGGCCGGGCGACGGUUGUCCCGGUUUAAGCGUGUAGGCUGGUUUUCCAGGCAAAUCCGGAAAAUCAAGGCUGAGGCGUGAUGACGAGGCACUACGGUGCUGAAGCAACAAAUGCCCUGCUUCCAGGAAAAGCCUCUAAGCAUCAGGUAACAUCAAAUCGUACCCCAAACCGACACAGGUGGUCAGGUAGAGAAUACCAAGGCGCUUGAGAGAACUCGGGUGAAGGAACUAGGCAAAAUGGUGCCGUAACUUCGGGAGAAGGCACGCUGAUAUGUAGGUGAAGUCCCUCGCGGAUGGAGCUGAAAUCAGUCGAAGAUACCAGCUGGCUGCAACUGUUUAUUAAAAACACAGCACUGUGCAAACACGAAAGUGGACGUAUACGGUGUGACGCCUGCCCGGUGCCGGAAGGUUAAUUGAUGGGGUCAGCGCAAGCGAAGCUCUUGAUCGAAGCCCCGGUAAACGGCGGCCGUAACUAUAACGGUCCUAAGGUAGCGAAAUUCCUUGUCGGGUAAGUUCCGACCUGCACGAAUGGCGUAAUGAUGGCCAGGCUGUCUCCACCCGAGACUCAGUGAAAUUGAACUCGCUGUGAAGAUGCAGUGUACCCGCGGCAAGACGGAAAGACCCCGUGAACCUUUACUAUAGCUUGACACUGAACAUUGAGCCUUGAUGUGUAGGAUAGGUGGGAGGCUUUGAAGUGUGGACGCCAGUCUGCAUGGAGCCGACCUUGAAAUACCACCCUUUAAUGUUUGAUGUUCUAACGUGGACCCGUGAUCCGGGUUGCGGACAGUGUCUGGUGGGUAGUUUGACUGGGGCGGUCUCCUCCUAAAGAGUAACGGAGGAGCACGAAGGUUGGCUAAUCCUGGUCGGACAUCAGGAGGUUAGUGCAAUGGCAUAAGCCAGCUUGACUGCGAGCGUGACGGCGCGAGCAGGUGCGAAAGCAGGUCAUAGUGAUCCGGUGGUUCUGAAUGGAAGGGCCAUCGCUCAACGGAUAAAAGGUACUCCGGGGAUAACAGGCUGAUACCGCCCAAGAGUUCAUAUCGACGGCGGUGUUUGGCACCUCGAUGUCGGCUCAUCACAUCCUGGGGCUGAAGUAGGUCCCAAGGGUAUGGCUGUUCGCCAUUUAAAGUGGUACGCGAGCUGGGUUUAGAACGUCGUGAGACAGUUCGGUCCCUAUCUGCCGUGGGCGCUGGAGAACUGAGGGGGGCUGCUCCUAGUACGAGAGGACCGGAGUGGACGCAUCACUGGUGUUCGGGUUGUCAUGCCAAUGGCACUGCCCGGUAGCUAAAUGCGGAAGAGAUAAGUGCUGAAAGCAUCUAAGCACGAAACUUGCCCCGAGAUGAGUUCUCCCUGACUCCUUGAGAGUCCUGAAGGAACGUUGAAGACGACGACGUUGAUAGGCCGGGUGUGUAAGCGCAGCGAUGCGUUGAGCUAACCGGUACUAAUGAACCGUGAGGCUUAACCUU